GACGAACGCUGGCGGCGUGCUUAACACAUGCAAGUCGAACGGAAAGGCCCUGCUUUUGUGGGGUGCUCGAGUGGCGAACGGGUGAGUAACACGUGAGUAACCUGCCCUUGACUUUGGGAUAACUUCAGGAAACUGGGGCUAAUACCGGAUAGGAGCUCCUGCUGCAUGGUGGGGGUUGGAAAGUUUCGGCGGUUGGGGAUGGACUCGCGGCUUAUCAGCUUGUUGGUGGGGUAGUGGCUUACCAAGGCUUUGACGGGUAGCCGGCCUGAGAGGGUGACCGGCCACAUUGGGACUGAGAUACGGCACAGACUCCUACGGGAGGCAUCAGUGGGGAAUGUUGCACCAUGGGCGGAAGCCUAAUGCAGCAACGCCGCGUGCGGGAUGACGGCCUUCGGGUUGUAAGCCGCUUUCGCCUGUGACGAAGCGUGAGUGACGGUAAUGGGUAAAGAAGCACCGGCUAACUACGUG
This 468-nucleotide ribosomal RNA is filed under the name uncultured bacterium. RNAcentral describes it as "partial 16S ribosomal RNA". It matches the Rfam family "Bacterial small subunit ribosomal RNA", at positions 28 to 507 of the family's 1533-position model. The record is from RNAcentral.